This 404-nucleotide ribosomal RNA is filed under the name Verrucomicrobiota bacterium. RNAcentral's name for it is "Verrucomicrobia bacterium partial 16S ribosomal RNA". It matches the Rfam family "Bacterial small subunit ribosomal RNA", at positions 355 to 776 of the family's 1533-position model. Lineage: Bacteria; Pseudomonadati; Verrucomicrobiota. The record is from RNAcentral.
UGGGGAAUAUUGCACAAUGGGGGAAACCCUGAUGCAGCGACGCCGCGUGAGCGAAGAAGGCCUUCGGGUCGUAAAGCUCUUUUAUGAGUGAAGAUAAUGACGGUACCUCAAGAAAAAGCCCCGGCUAACUACGUGCCAGCAGCCGCGGUAAUACGUAGGGGGCUAGCGUUGUCCGGAAUCACUGGGCGUAAAGGGUUCGCAGGCGGAAUAACAAGUCAGAUGUGAAAGGCAUGGGCUCAACCCAUGUAAGCAUUUGAAACUGUAAUUCUUGAGAAGUGGAGAGGUAAGUGGAAUUCCUAGUGUAGCGGUGAAAUGCGUAGAUAUUAGGAGGAAUACCUGUGGCGAAGGCGACUUACUGGACACAAAUCUGACGCUGAGGAACGAAAGCGUGGGUAGCAAACAGG